GAUGAACGCUGGCGGUGUGCCUAAUACAUGCGAGUCGAGCGAACAGACGAGGAGCUUGCUCCUCUGACGUUAGCGGCGGACGGGUGAGUAACAUGUGGAUAACCUACCUAUAAGACUGGGAUAACUUCGGGAAACCGGAGCUAAUACCGGAUAAUAUAUUGAAUCGCAUGGUUCAAGAGUGAAAGACGGUUUUGCUGUUACUAAUAGAUGUAUCCUCAUCACAUUAGAUAGUUGGUAAGGUAACGGCUUACCAAGGAAACGAUGCAUAGCCCACCUGAGAGGGUGAUCGGUCACUCUGUAACAGGGACGCGCACCCGCCUCCUAACGGAGACACCAGCCGGGCAUCUUCAGCAGCGGGCGUAAGCUUGACGGAGCAACGCCCCGUGGGUUAAGACAGUCUUAGCAUCGUAAAACUGUGUUAUUAGGGAAGAACAAAUGUGUAACUAACUAUGCACGUAUUGCCGGUCCCUAAUAAGAAAGCCCCGGCUAACUACGUG
RNAcentral lists this ribosomal RNA (497 nucleotides) under uncultured bacterium. RNAcentral's name for it is "partial 16S ribosomal RNA". It matches the Rfam family "Bacterial small subunit ribosomal RNA", at positions 28 to 507 of the family's 1533-position model. The record is from RNAcentral.